ACGAAGGGGGCGAGCGUUGUUCGGAUUUACUGGGCGUAAAGGGCGCGCAGGCGGUCAUUUUUGUCGAGUGUGAAAGCCCCGGGCUUAACCUGGGAACUGCGCUCGAAACGGGAUGACUAGAGAUCGGGAGAGGAGAGUGGAAUUCCCAGUGUAGAGGUGAAAUUCGUAGAUAUUCGGAAGAACACCAGUGGCGAAGGCGACUCACUGGACACGUAUUGACGCUGAGGUGCGAAAGCGUGGGGAGCAAACAGGA
RNAcentral lists this ribosomal RNA (253 nucleotides) under uncultured prokaryote. RNAcentral describes it as "partial 16S ribosomal RNA". It matches the Rfam family "Bacterial small subunit ribosomal RNA", at positions 525 to 777 of the family's 1533-position model. The record is from RNAcentral.